This 547-nucleotide long non-coding RNA is filed under the name Capra hircus (goat). RNAcentral describes it as "lncRNA (ENSCHIG00000008130.1)". Lineage: Eukaryota; Metazoa; Chordata; Mammalia; Artiodactyla; Bovidae. The record is from RNAcentral.
GCAGGCAGGAAUACUGGAGUGGGUUGCCAUUUCUUUCUCCAUGGGGUCUUCCAGACCCAGGGAUUGAACCCAGGUCUCCUGUACUGCAGGCAGAUUCUUUACCAUCUGAGCUACCAUGGAAGACCAGGAAAAGAAGGGGCAUGGUGAAUCAGGUACUGUGAGAAAGCUCUGAAAGACAGCAAGCAGAUGGAUUGGGACUAAAGAUGAAAGGACAGUCUGGGACAGGCGUGACCGGAUUGUGCCAUGAAGGUUCUCCAGGUUCUAUAACUGAUGCUGAUGUCCUUGUCCUCCUUAAUUACACUGACCUUGUAAUCAACUCCAGAGAGGAAUUAUGUACACUUAACUACAGAAAGCAAAGCUCUGGGUCCGAUUGUCUAGCAGUUGGAGAUUUCUUGCCUCUAAUUGCUCUUUGUGCCCCAAGUUUGAGGAAAUAGCUGUGGAUAUUCCUGGGUCCUCAUCCAACAGAUCUCUCCCUAUCAGAGGGUUUCUAGCCGCUGUGACCUAUUACCCAUUCACAAGUCAGGGUCUUUAAGCAUCUGUAACUUUA